CCUACGGGGGGCUGCAGUGGGGAAUAUUGGACAAUGGGGGCAACCCUGAUCCAGCCAUGUCGCGUGUGUGAAGAAGGCCCUCGGGUUGUAAAGCACUUUCAGUGAGGAAGAACGCCUGGUGGUUAAUACCCAUCAGGAAAGACAUCACUCACAGAAGAAGCACCGGCUAACUCCGUGCCAGCAGCCGCGGUAAUACGGAGGGUGCGAGCGUUAAUCGGAAUUACUGGGCGUAAAGCGCGCGUAGGUGGCUUGAUAAGCCGGUUGUGAAAGCCCCGGGCUCAACCUGGGAACGGCAUCCGGAACUGUCAAGCUAGAGUGCAGGAGAGGAAGGUAGAAUUCCCGGUGUAGCGGUGAAAUGCGUAGAGAUCGGGAGGAAUACCAGUGGCGAAGGCGGCCUUCUGGACUGACACUGACACUGAGGUGCGAAAGCGUGGGUAGCAAACAGGAUUAGAUACCCUGGUAGUC
This 465-nucleotide ribosomal RNA is filed under the name Vreelandella stevensii. RNAcentral's name for it is "partial 16S ribosomal RNA". It matches the Rfam family "Bacterial small subunit ribosomal RNA", at positions 338 to 795 of the family's 1533-position model. The record is from RNAcentral. Lineage: Bacteria; Pseudomonadati; Pseudomonadota; Gammaproteobacteria; Oceanospirillales; Halomonadaceae.